UAGCGAAGGGUCUCUCCACCCUCGUCCCCGUGGCUGCAGUUCGUCCCCGUCCCUUUCGCUCUAACCUCGCCAAAGCCGCCGCUCCUGCAGUCCUUCGGCGCCAUCCAAUCUCACGCCAGACUCCCGCGGUAGGAGAGGAGAGUAUGAACGACGUUCCUUGCAGCGGCAACGACGAGGAGCCCUUUCUGUUUCCACCUCCUUUCUUUCAUGGAUGCCGUGUCUUCUUUGCCCGUCAGAGCCCAGAUCUGUCUGUUGUUUGUACUGAUCAUCGUUCGAGAGAAGAGAUGGGAAGAGAUUGAUUCCUGCAUUAAGAAUCUGUCCAAAGACACUAAGAUUCGUUUCUGUAUUGAGAUCUUUUCUUUAGUUAUGACUGAAUUUUCCCAAUAGCUCCUUUUGUAAUUUAUGAUGUCAAUAUCCAAGAAAUUUGAACCUGAGUUUUCAUACUUUAGUAACUGAAUUUCAUUGAUCCAAAUGAUAAUAUUGUAAUCUGUACAGACUUCCUGUGAUUUCUGACCCAACUCAUCUCUAUACAGAUGUCCUGACUGGUGGUGAUUCUGUUCAGGGAGAAGAAAAUAUACAAUUCAUUGUGGCACUGUUAACGCUAGCAUCAGGAGGUUGUUCAUGUCAUCAAAAUGUGCAACCAGAAUGAAAGUGCAACUACACUGCAGCUUCUUCGAGGUAUGCAGAGUAUGUCCUCUCAUACACCCUGUUCUUAAUCUGUCAAUUAUAUCCUAAAGAUAUGGGUUCACCAGGUACAAAGAACAUCUUAGUGGGAUUUCAAAAAAAAAGUUCAACUUAUCAGUGUUAGCUCCCUAUUUUAUUCUCCAUGGAACCCUCUCCUUAAUUAAGACAGGGUAUCCUUAAAAAGAAAUGUAAGACGAAGGAGGGUAGAGGAGAUCGAGGAGGGAGGGGGCCGUUGCGAGGAGAUAGUUGGAGGUCAAGCAUCGGCACUGGAGACGAGGACCCGCGAGCGGGAGAGGCGACGCUGGGCUGGCCAUUUCCACUGCGUCGGCAGAAGCCAGCGGAGUGAGCUCAUCAGCGUGGCAUCAAACUAUACAAUGAAGUCAGAGUCCGGCCAGAUCGUUUGCAAGGUGUGCAUCCCGAAAUCCAUCUCCUUCUUUACUCCCUUUGAUUUCAAUUUCCAGCAAGAGCUUUUCGGCCAACUAGCAGCGAACUAUCCGUCCAAGUCAACAUGAUAAACCCCCUUCCCUUCU
Molecule: non-coding RNA, 1214 nt
Organism: Triticum urartu
Lineage: Eukaryota; Viridiplantae; Streptophyta; Magnoliopsida; Poales; Poaceae
Source: RefSeq, a predicted model, not a curated record